Molecule: long non-coding RNA, 697 nt
Organism: Anguilla rostrata (American eel)
Lineage: Eukaryota; Metazoa; Chordata; Actinopteri; Anguilliformes; Anguillidae
Exons: 4
Source: RefSeq, a predicted model, not a curated record
GCAGAUGUUCGCUACAAUCGAACAGGCUUAUUUGCGGGUUUAGCCUACAGAUGGUACCAAUAUAUUGGAACAAUUUAAGUCCCAACGGAAUUGUAGAAUUGUUCAAUAGGGUUGGUACAUGUACACGUUAAAAUUAGGCAAAUGUCUACAUACAAGGAAUGUUUGUCUUUUCUGGGUAACUAAUUGACUACAAUAAAUGAAUGCAACCAAUGAAAAUAAAACGACUUAUUUGAACCAGUAAAAAAGUUAAAAAAAAAAAAAAAAAAAAAAAUAGGUGUCAAAAGAGAAAGUGAAACUGUUUCAAACUCAAACGUCAUUUUGAAGACGGAGGACAAAGAGGAUGCAGUAAAAAAGGAAUAAAACUGGAUAAAAGAACGGAAGACUGUGCUGCAUGAAAAUCCCAGGAGGGCAGCUGUUUCUGUGAUGCUGGAACCACCACAUCUGGCACCAUCCAUAUGGCACAGUCAAAGUCGCUUAGAUCACACAUCUUGCCCAUUCUAAUAGAUAGGGGGCGCUGUUUCUAAAAUGAAUCUCUCAGAGGAGCCAAAGACCAAAGGAGGAACCCUCAGCAGUGAGAGGAAGAGGGUCCAGGUAGAAAGAGCAGGGUCACCUGUACCCAGCUGUGUGUCUCCGAAGAGUGAUCCUUCAAUGGAUCCUCCACUCACUUUCAAAGGAGAGUUCACAGGUGAUCAGAGGU